CCCUCGCCUUUAGUUGCCAUCAGGUUGGGCUGGGCACUCUAGAGGAACUGCCGGUGACAAGCCGGAGGAAGGUGGGGAUGACGUCAAGUCCUCAUGGCCCUUAUGUCCUGGGCUACACACGUGCUACAAUGGCGGUGACAGUGGGAAGCCAGGCCGCGAGGCCGAGCUGAUCUCUAAAAGCCGUCUCAGUUCGGAUUGCACUCUGCAACUCGGGUGCAUGAAGGUGGAAUCGCUAGUAAUCGCGGAUCAGCAUGCCGCGGUGAAUACGUUCCCGGGCCUUGUACACACCGCCCGU
This 295-nucleotide ribosomal RNA is filed under the name uncultured Alphaproteobacteria bacterium. RNAcentral describes it as "partial 16S ribosomal RNA". It matches the Rfam family "Bacterial small subunit ribosomal RNA", at positions 1102 to 1397 of the family's 1533-position model. Lineage: Bacteria; Pseudomonadati; Pseudomonadota; Alphaproteobacteria. The record is from RNAcentral.